GACGAACCGUACGAACGUUAUUCGGAAUCACUGGGCUUAAAGGGUGCGUAGGCGGCGCUGAAAGUAGGGUGUGAAAUCCCUCGGCUCAACCGAGGAACUGCGCUCUAAACUACAGUGCUUGAGGGAGACAGAGGUGAGCGGAACUUAGGGUGGAGCGGUGAAAUGCGUUGAUAUCCUAAGGAACACCCGUGGCGAAAGCGGCUCACUGGGUCUCUUCUGACGCUGAGGCACGAAAGCCAGGGUAGCGAACGGG
This 253-nucleotide ribosomal RNA is filed under the name Lacipirellulaceae bacterium. RNAcentral's name for it is "partial 16S ribosomal RNA". It matches the Rfam family "Bacterial small subunit ribosomal RNA", at positions 524 to 776 of the family's 1533-position model. RNAcentral also lists the same sequence under 1 other name. Lineage: Bacteria; Pseudomonadati; Planctomycetota; Planctomycetia; Pirellulales; Lacipirellulaceae. The record is from RNAcentral.